AGAAGCAACAUACUUUUUCUAUUUCUCUGUGGGUUAUUUAAUUCACAAAUAUGACAACUUUUCAGUCUUGCAUAUAUGGUAUAACAACGGUUGCUGCUGCAGGUUUCAGAUGGUGACCACAUUGACAGAUUAAUAUCUUGCCUGCAUAUGGCUCUUCCAUUUUUUACGAGGGGUGCAUCAAGUAAUAGGUUUCUCAACUAUUUGAACAAGAAUAUUGUACCUGUUUUUGAUAAGGUAAUUAGUACUUUCCACUAAUUAUUUUAUUUGGAGAUUAAAAUAAAUAGUAGAGUUUGUAAUUGUCC
Molecule: non-coding RNA, 302 nt
Organism: Camellia sinensis
Lineage: Eukaryota; Viridiplantae; Streptophyta; Magnoliopsida; Ericales; Theaceae
Source: RefSeq, a predicted model, not a curated record